RNAcentral lists this ribosomal RNA (163 nucleotides) under Oidiodendron sp. RNAcentral's name for it is "partial small subunit ribosomal RNA". It matches the Rfam family "Eukaryotic small subunit ribosomal RNA", at positions 1639 to 1799 of the family's 1831-position model. Lineage: Eukaryota; Fungi; Ascomycota; Leotiomycetes; Myxotrichaceae. The record is from RNAcentral.
CGUUGAUUACGUCCCUGCCCUUUGUACACACCGCCCGUCGCUACUACCGAUUGAAUGGCUCAGUGAGGCUUUCGGACUGGCUUAGGGAGAUUGGCAACACCCACCCAGGGCCGGAAAGUUGGUCAAACUUGGUCAUUUAGAGGAAGUAAAAGUCGUAACAAGG